Molecule: long non-coding RNA, 2120 nt
Organism: Helianthus annuus (common sunflower)
Lineage: Eukaryota; Viridiplantae; Streptophyta; Magnoliopsida; Asterales; Asteraceae
Exons: 5
Source: RefSeq, a predicted model, not a curated record
AAAUCUCAGCCACUUAAACUCCAAAAUAACUGCUAUGAUUGCAGUUCAUGGCAGUUUCCUUACCUGGUAGUUACCUCCACCAUUUUCUAGCCCAUGUCUCCAAAACUCAACCUCCUACAAACCUGGGUAGUGCUCUAAAGUCAGUUGAGGAGGUAUUAUUAUAUAAUGUACCUUAGAAGCAAUAGUUCAUAUCUUCAAAUCUAAUGUUAUUCAAGGGUUCGGCUUUUGGAAGGGGAAAAAUAGGAGAAUCAAAUACACUCUGUUUGGGAAGGAACAAAUCCGAUGUAUCUUCAGGUAUCGCUUGGGAAUAUGCAUCAAUUUAGCCAAGCAGAACAGAGCAAACACUAUGGCAGAUAGCAAUGACAUUGAGGACCAGAUGGAUCAGAGGUUGGCAACUAUGAGGAGAUGGAUGAAUGAUGAUGAUGUUGAAGAGUAGUUAAGAGGAAAAAGCUGAUGAUGAUCGUGGUAAAGAAAAGCAUGUUGGGCUGCUUACUUUGCCACCACAUGGUUCUGAGAUUUUCAUUGGGGGGCUUUCUAAGGAUGUGGUUGAGGAAGAUUUGAGUGAAGUUUGUGAACCUUUUGGGGAUGUUGUUUAGGUCAGCUCUAACGGUAAGUUUGGUGAGAUAUAUGGAGACCAAUGAAGGUAAGGGUUUUGCAUUUGUGGCAUUUAGAAGUAAAGAUGAUGUUCAAAAGGCCAUUGAAGAACUACAUAACAAAGAUUUUAAGGUGUUCACUGUGUUCACUCUUUGAAUACAUAUACAGACAAUUCAUAGGUAAUGUGCCAAAGACUUGGACUGAUGAUGAGUUCAGAAAAGUAAUUGAGGAAAUAGGCCUAGGUUCAGAAGUGUCAUUGAGAGCUUCUAUAAAGGUGUGGAUCAUACAUAGCCAAUCAAGGGAAAAAGAGGCUUUGUAAGAAAAAAUGUUGUUGCUUGAGGCCUUACAUAAUUAUGCAUUUUCAUCCGCAUACAGUCCCCCUAUUACACGAUCCCUAGCCCAGUAAGUACAUAGACCCUUUCUUUGCUUUUGAGUUUUGACUACACUUGAAGCAAGUGUAAGUUUAUUUAUAAUGUAGCUUUAAAGUUACAUGAACUUUUUAUAAUUCACACAUCCUACUUUUCUAAAUUUUGGUUCUUUUAAUACUAAGGAUCUUAGCAACAACAUUUACAAUGAACUUCCAUACAGGCUGCCUUUAAAUCUAACACACUUGUAAGUUUCACUCUAGAUAAAUUUACUAGGUGUGUCAAUCGUGUAGGGUUAGCGGGUUGUGGCUUGGCGAGUUGCAGGUUGACGGGUUGAUGGGUAGAUUGUGGAACACGAACUAUAUCUUUAUUCAUGUCAAAAUCCGGAUACACAUAAUCUGGGUCAAAUCGAACACAACCCAUUUUUACCAAUUUGCUAAAUAAUUAUUUGGAAUUUGAGAAUCAUACAUAAAUCCUAAGAUUUGGAUUCCGAUUGAUAUAGACCAAUACUGUCUCUUCCUUGCAUAACUUUAUAUAGUAUGAUAGUCGGGUCAGAUAAUGCGUAAAAACAAGUCAUGUUUCAUUAUGCUAUUACCCAUUGUAGAUAACAUAACCCAAUUUAUUUCUCUAAUCUUCGUAACCUAUUAGUGGUCAUUGUCACAUUUCUUGUAGGUCGUUUUAUGUUGGUGCUGCUGGUGGAAGAGUAUCAUAGUAAUGCGGACGAGAAGUUUGCAGAGGUAGUAUGCAUUAUAUCAUUUUGUGCUUCAUGUUUGUUUAUACUACUAAACAGGAGCAAUUGUAAUUUGAUUUUCAUUUAUAGUUUUUUAAUUGGGUAUUUGUUAAAUUAGCCCUUUUUGUUCCACGCAACUGGUUUGAAGUUUUUUCUUCUGCUUGAGCUUAUAACAAGCACAAGCCUAAGUUUUUUGUUAUUUUGAUUUGCUCUGGAGCUGUAAUUUAGUAAGUUUAACCAUUUGGCCCCUUCCCUACGCAACAUCUGAUCCUCUAAGACAAUUGCGCCAUCACGGCACUGCUUGUAUCAGUCAAUAUAUGGUCACGUAAAGACUAGCUUAAUGCCAUCCAAUUGAUUGAAAUUACCUCAAACCUUGCUUUUUCGGAUUUUUAGGCAUAUUAUACGUGUAAAUAUUACAUUUUGAUGAAACA